This 440-nucleotide ribosomal RNA is filed under the name uncultured bacterium. RNAcentral's name for it is "partial 16S ribosomal RNA". It matches the Rfam family "Bacterial small subunit ribosomal RNA", at positions 338 to 795 of the family's 1533-position model. The record is from RNAcentral.
CCUACGGGAGGCAGCAGUGGGGAAUAUUGCUCAAUGGGGGAAACCCUGAUGCAGCAACGCCGCGUGGGGGACGAAGGGUUUCGGCGUGUAAAGCCCUUUUGGCAGGGGAGAAAAUGACGGUACCUGACGAAUAAGCACCGGCUAACUCCGUGCCAGCAGCCGGGGUAAUACGGAGGGAGCAAGCGUUAUUCGGAUUUACUGGGGGUAAAGGGGGCGGAGGCGGGAAUGCAAGCCAGUAGUGAAAGCCCGGGGCCCAACCCUGGCACUGCAGUUGAAACUGCAGGGCUAGAGUACAGGAGUGGUAGGCGGAAUUAGUAGUGUAGCGGUGAAAUGCGUAGAUAUCACGAAGAACACCGAUAGCGAAGGCGGCCUGCCAGAGUGAGACUGACGCUGAGGCACGAAGGCGUGGGUAGCAAACAGGAUUAGAUACCCUAGUAGUC